RNAcentral lists this transfer RNA (65 nucleotides) under Bathypolypus sponsalis. RNAcentral's name for it is "tRNA-Arg". The record is from RNAcentral. Lineage: Eukaryota; Metazoa; Mollusca; Cephalopoda; Octopoda; Octopodidae.
ACUCAAGAAAUGAAUCUUCAUAUAUGGUUUCGACCCAUAAUUAGGUAAUCGGUUACCCUUGUUUA